This 236-nucleotide ribosomal RNA is filed under the name uncultured bacterium. Its description in RNAcentral is "partial 16S ribosomal RNA". It matches the Rfam family "Bacterial small subunit ribosomal RNA", at positions 100 to 334 of the family's 1533-position model. The record is from RNAcentral.
CGGGACGGGUGAGUAACGCGUGGGUGACCUGCCCCAUACCGGGGGAUAACAGCUGGAAACGGCUGCUAAUACCGCAUAAGCGCACAGAGCUGCAUGGCUCGGUGUGAAAAACUCCGGUGGUAUGGGAUGGGCCCGCGUCUGAUUAGGCAGUUGGCGGGGUAACGGCCCACCAAACCGACGAUCAGUAGCCGGCCUGAGAGGGCGACCGGCCACAUUGGGACUGAGACACGGCCCAA